Molecule: ribosomal RNA, 506 nt
Filed under: uncultured bacterium
Lineage: Bacteria
Description: partial 16S ribosomal RNA
Rfam family: Bacterial small subunit ribosomal RNA
Source: RNAcentral
AUUGAACGCUGGCGGCAGGCCCAACACAUGCAAGUCGAGCGGCAGCGGGAGAAAGCUUGCUUUCUUGCCGGCGAGCGGCGGACGGGUGAGUAAGGUAUGGGGAUCUGGCCGAAGGCGGGGGAUAACCACUGGAAACGGUGGCUAAUACCGCAUAAUCUCUAAGUAGCAAAGUGGGGGACCUUCUGGCCUCACACCUUCGGAUGAACCCAUAUGAGAUUAGCUAGUAGGUGGGGUAAAGGCUCACCUAGGCGACGAUCUCUAGCUGGUCUGCGUGGAUGCACAGCCACACUGGGACUAGGACACGGCCAAGACGCCUACGGGAGGCAGCAGUGGGGAAUAUUGCAGAAUGGGCGCAAGCCUGAUGCAACCAUGCCGCGUGUAUGAAGAAGGCCUUCGGGUUGUAAAGUACUUUCAGUCGUGAGGAAGGUGUUAAGGUUAAUAGUCUUAGCAAUUGACGUUAGCGACAGAAGAAGCACCGGCUAACUCCGUGCCAGCCGCCGCCGUAA